GCUCGCGUAGCUUAACUAAAGCAUAACACUGAAGCUG
RNAcentral lists this transfer RNA (37 nucleotides) under Oncorhynchus keta (chum salmon). Its description in RNAcentral is "partial tRNA-Phe". Lineage: Eukaryota; Metazoa; Chordata; Actinopteri; Salmoniformes; Salmonidae. The record is from RNAcentral.